Molecule: long non-coding RNA, 624 nt
Filed under: Phoenix dactylifera (date palm)
Lineage: Eukaryota; Viridiplantae; Streptophyta; Magnoliopsida; Arecales; Arecaceae
Description: long non-coding RNA (PDAC_LNC019329)
Source: RNAcentral
CACUCACAAACAUACAAACGUGUAUAUUUCUUCAUUUUUUAUUCUCUAUGCUUUUAGUGUACAGAAUGCUGUGGUAUCUAACUAGAGGACCGGCUAUUACUCAUUUGAUUGAUUCUUACGAGAAACUAAAAUAGGUAAAGGCCCUCUCAUACAAAAGUGAGAAAAUGUAUCCCUUAGACAACCCUCAUGUCCACGAUGUAUAAAGGAGCAUUACUAUACAUGUCCACGAUGAAGUUCCCCAGCUACAUUUUAGACAAGAGACAGGAAAACUAGAAGGAAGGAAAUAGAAUUGUCAACAAAAUGGCGCCAAACCAUAACUGUAAUUCACUCUUAAAGGACUGGAUAACUAUUAAUCUGAUUAGAACUUACCGUUAUUACAGAUACAAAGAAUUGAAGUAGCCCUAUGAUUCCCUAAGAAAGAAGAAUGCAUAAGUGCAAAAUAAUUUCUGUACGGCUGUAUGAGCUACCAACAGUACCCAGAUUUGGCACUAGAGCAAGAGAAAAUUCUCAUUUUCUGCUUUUUCAGAAUAUGACAAAGUGGAGAGAAGAUGCAAAAGCAAGUGGUGUAAUGCCAAUUGAUAGAAUCACAAGCCGAAGCAACAGAAGUGAAGGAUUUGAGUUCCA